UUUACGCCACAUUAAAGUAUAUUUACUUCAUCAUUCCGACUUGCUGUGGUAUUGCAGUGCACAAAGACAUGUGACAAGGAGGAUAUUCAUGGAUGAAAAUCAGAAAAUAAAAAAUAAAAAUCUUGAAAAUGUCGGAACAACAUUCAGUUGUGCAACAAAAGCUCGUCACUUUUUCAUAACAACCCGAGUCCUAACUGAACACAGGUGAUUAUGGCAGUAUGACUGACAUCUAGUGGCUGACUGGAGGAAGGAAAACGUCUGAAUGACCUGCGCACUGUUGCAAAACUGAAAGUCACAGGGAUAUGGACUUUCAGUUAACCCAGUGCUAACCCAGCAGGAUGGUCUUUUUGCGGAUGGCAGCGAACUUGUCCAGUAUGUUUUGGGAUCAGAGGAAGACUUCCUCCACCUUUUCCUGUCUUGAUGGUGUAGGUGCAAAACUACAGAAGAGACAUGAAAGGUGAUUUAAUGGGACAAGCUGUACGGGGCAUUAAAGAACACAACUCCAAGCUCAGGAGAGAUGAGUCUCUUGGACAAGUCAUCUGUUCAGACAAAAGAAGAAGACCGAAAAGACACAUGUGAACAAAGAGGACAUUGGACAUGAAACAGGAAGGCGUUGACCCCAGGGAGGUUCUCUGUCCCAAUGUGUGUCAACAAAACUGCAUCGACUCGGUCGAGGUGGCGGACCAGCUUCCAGAAACAGGCCUGGGAGUCUGAGCCGCCAUCCACCAGCACUGUGAACCCA
Long non-coding RNA from Scatophagus argus, 742 nucleotides. RefSeq lists it as uncharacterized. The transcript is spliced from 4 exons. Lineage: Eukaryota; Metazoa; Chordata; Actinopteri; Scatophagidae. The record is from RefSeq and is a predicted model, not a curated record.